This 489-nucleotide ribosomal RNA is filed under the name uncultured bacterium. Its description in RNAcentral is "bacterial SSU rRNA". It matches the Rfam family "Bacterial small subunit ribosomal RNA", at positions 25 to 518 of the family's 1533-position model. The record is from RNAcentral.
CAGGACGAACGCUGGCGGCGUGCCUAACACAUGCAAGUCGAACGGGGAUGAUCGGAACGACUCGGUGCGAAGAUCAUCCAGUGGCGGACGGGUGAGUAACGCGUGAGGAACCUGCCUCGAACUGGGGGAUAACAGCGAGAAAUCGUUGCUAAUACCGCAUAAGACCACAUGGCCGCAUGGCCAAGGGGUCAAAGAUUAUAUCGGUUUGAGAUGGACUCGCGUCUGAUUAGCUAGUUGGUGGGUAACGGCCUACCAAGGCAGCGAUCAGUAGCCGAGCUGAGAGGCUGAUCGGCCACACUGGGACUGAGACACGGCCCAGACUCCUACGGGAGGCAGCAGUGGGGAAUAAUUGGGCAAUGGGGGGAACCCUGACCCAGCAACGCCGCGUGAAGGAAGAAGGUUUUCGGAUUGUAAACUUCUGUCCUUGGGGACGAAACAAAUGACGGUACCCAAGGAGGAAGCCCCGGCCAACUACGUGCCAGCCGCCGC